AACGCACAUUGCGCCCGCCAGUAUUCUGGCGGGCAUGCCUGUUCGAGCGUCAUUUCAACCCUCAAGCCCCCGGGCUUGGUGUUGGGGAUCGGCCGCCCUCCGGCGCGCCGGCCCCGAAAUCUAGUGGCGGUCUCGCUGUAGCCUCCUCUGCGUAGUAGCACACCUCGCACCGGAACGCAGCCUGGCCACGCCGUUAAACCCCCCACUUCUGAAGGUUGACCUCGGAUCAGGUAGGAAUACCCGCUGAACUUAA
RNAcentral lists this unclassified non-coding RNA (253 nucleotides) under Cosmospora sp. RNAcentral's name for it is "partial contains 5.8S ribosomal RNA, internal transcribed spacer 2, and large subunit ribosomal RNA". The stretch from base 1 to 52 matches the Rfam family "5.8S ribosomal RNA", at positions 103 to 154 of the family's 154-position model. RNAcentral also lists the same sequence under 1 other name. The record is from RNAcentral. Lineage: Eukaryota; Fungi; Ascomycota; Sordariomycetes; Hypocreales; Nectriaceae.